RNAcentral lists this ribosomal RNA (199 nucleotides) under uncultured bacterium. Its description in RNAcentral is "partial 16S ribosomal RNA". It matches the Rfam family "Bacterial small subunit ribosomal RNA", at positions 328 to 539 of the family's 1533-position model. The record is from RNAcentral.
ACGCUCGACACCUACGGGAGGCNGCAGUUGGGAAUAUUGGACAAUGGAGGAAACUCUGAUCCAGUGACGCCGCGUGAAGGAAGAAGGUCUUCGGAUUGUAAACUUAUUUUGUCAGGGAAGAAAAAUGACUGUACCUGAAGAAAAAGCACCGGCUAACUACGUGCCGGCAGCCGCGGUAAUCUGAGCGGGCUGGCAAGGC